Molecule: long non-coding RNA, 620 nt
Filed under: Parus major (Great Tit)
Lineage: Eukaryota; Metazoa; Chordata; Aves; Passeriformes; Paridae
Description: lncRNA (ENSPMJG00000008317.1)
Source: RNAcentral
CUUCAACACGGAUAUAUUUCAUUUCAAGUGUAAGAGACGUUGUCACCCUCAGGCAAAGUGACCCCUCCCCGAAGUAGUUUUUAAUCAGGCUGUUUCCUGAUGGUCUGCUCUCAGUUCCACCCUCAAAGGCCUGCAGAUGCUGCGGUGGGAGCGAUUACAGUUUCAUUAGUUGGACAAGCCGGGCAGGAGGGAAGGACACGGCUGUCAAGGAGAGAGCAGUAAAACAUCUGCAAAUCCACAUGGAUUGAGAGGAGCCCGUGUUGGAGGCUGAGACACAGACAGGAGAUCGCUCCCAGGUGGAGGAAAUAAUGGAGAAGAUCACGGAGUUUUACAGCUCUGAGCCUCCAAAUUGGCCACUGGCUGUGAGAGGAGCACUCAGCAGGACUGUCCCUUGCCAUCCCUCUGGCCCAGGGAUGUCCAGUGUGGCCUCCAGGGAUUCCCUCAAGGCUUCCCUGUUUCCCGGGGGUCAGAAUGGAAAACCAUCCCCAUUCCUCACCAGAACCUCUGGCAGCCUCAGGGUGCUCAGCCAGAGGCUCCAGGUCAGACUCACUUUUCCCUUGUGUGCCUUGGGAUUGCCCAGGGCUCAGGUAUCUCCUGGGUGCCAUAAAUGGCAUGAGAAG